This 253-nucleotide ribosomal RNA is filed under the name uncultured bacterium. RNAcentral's name for it is "partial 16S ribosomal RNA". It matches the Rfam family "Bacterial small subunit ribosomal RNA", at positions 524 to 776 of the family's 1533-position model. The record is from RNAcentral.
UACGUAGGGGGCUAGCGUUGUCCGGAAUCAUUGGGCGUAAAGAGCGUGUAGGCGGUCCGGUAAGUCCGCUGUGAAAGUCAAAGGCUCAACCUUUGAAAGCCGAUGGAUACUGCAUAGCUAGAGUACGGAAGAGGCGAGUGGAAUUCCUGGUGUAGCGGUGGAAUGCGCAGAUAUCAGGAGGAACACCAAUAGCGAAGGCAGCUCGCUGGGACGUUACUGACACUGAGGCGCGAAAGCGUGGGGAGCGAACAGG